Molecule: ribosomal RNA, 443 nt
Filed under: uncultured bacterium
Lineage: Bacteria
Description: partial 16S ribosomal RNA
Rfam family: Bacterial small subunit ribosomal RNA
Source: RNAcentral
CCUACGGGAGGCUGCAGUGGGGGAUAUUGGACAAUGGGGGGAACCCUGAUCCAGCGACGCCGCGUGAGUGAAGAAGUAUUUCGGUAUGUAAAGCUCUGUCAGCAGGGAAGAAAGAAAUGACGGUACCUGACCAAGAAGCCCCGGCUAACUACGUGCCAGCAGCCGCGGGAAUACGUAGGGGGCAAGCGUUAUCCGGAAUUACUGGGUGUAAAGGGAGCGUAGACGGUUAAGUAAGUCUGGAGUGAAAGGCCGGGGCCCAACCCCGGGACUGCUCUGGAAACUAUUGAACUUGAGUGCAGGAGAGGUAAGCGGAAUUCCUAGUGUAGCGGUGAAAUGCGUAGAUAUUAGGAGGAACACCAGUGGCGAAGGCGGCUUACUGGACUGUAACUGACGUUGAGGCUCGAAAGCGUGGGGAGCAAACAGGAUUAGAUACCCGAGUAGUC